This 96-nucleotide small nuclear RNA is filed under the name Phocoena sinus (vaquita). Lineage: Eukaryota; Metazoa; Chordata; Mammalia; Artiodactyla; Phocoenidae. The record is from RNAcentral.
GUGCUCGCUUUGGCAGUACAUAUACUAAAAUUGGAACGAUACAGAAAAGAUUUGCUUAAGGAUGACACACAAAUUCAUGAAGCGUUCCAUAUUUUU